RNAcentral lists this long non-coding RNA (766 nucleotides) under Homo sapiens (human). RNAcentral describes it as "HSALNT0369358". The record is from RNAcentral. Lineage: Eukaryota; Metazoa; Chordata; Mammalia; Primates; Hominidae.
CAGAUCAAAAUGUCUAACAGUAGAUGUAAAGUGGAUGCAAUGUCUGUAUCCAACAGACAUUAUGUGGCUUUGAAUUUAGGCACUGUAAUUAUAACCUAGAAGACUCUGUAAGAGUCUUCAUGGGAAAAUCAUCACAGGAAGAAGAGAAACAAGUUGCAGCAAAAGUCACAGUGGGGUAGCUGUCCCUAGAGUUGAACAGACACAUUUCAAGCCUUAUCCAAGUUUAGGACUUUUGGAAAGCAUUGCAGUUGCGAAUAAGAGAAUGUGCUUGGAAUCUUACUCUUGUGCAUUGAAGAAGGAUAAGAAACAGGAAGAAGUAGAAGAAUAAGGGGCUGGAGAUCAAGACCUACCCAUUGUGAUGAAUAAAUCCAGGCUCUCAGCAAUGCAGGGAGAAAAAGUUUUGUCUAUCAACACUGCAGCAACCAGGUAAUUCUGUGCACAGACCAAGUCUCUUAGCACAGGCACCAGCCCUGGAGUUCAUGUCCUCAUCAAAGGAUGGAAAGAAGCAAAGCUCAAAUCAGCUUGGGAAGGACCUUACCUAGUGCUCCUGACCACUGUAACCAUCAUCCAGACAGCAGAGAAAGGAUGGACUCAUUAUACCCGAGUCAAAGUGUUGCCACCUCCACAGUCAUGGGCCAUUGUUCCAGGGGAAAGCCCUACCAAAUUAAAGCUAAGAAAAACUUAUCACCUUUCCUCACUUUGUAACUAGUCACCUUAUUAACGUAACUAGAUCAAGCCUACCUCAAGUUACCACUUUUCACACUUG